GCAAAGAGUCGGACACGACUGAGCAACUGAACUGAACUGAACUGAAUAGACAAGAAUUCCUGCCCUCAUGAAAUAUGCAUUCUAACCUGAAUGCUAUUUUUGUGAAAACAAACCAACAAACAUCUUGCUUUGCUAUGUCUAGUGAUACAAUAUGCUGGUUUUCUGAAAUAACUUAUUUUUCAAUACUUAAAAAAAAGCUUAAAUGUUAAAUAUUUUAAACAGUGCAAAAUAUGCAUAUCCUUUCUUAAAUAUAUGAUCAAUCAGAUGGGAAGAUUUUUAAAACACAUGGUUGUGUGUGCCUAUGGAUAGAAGAGAACUGACAAGAAAAUAAUUUGGAAAAGUAAUGAAGAGUUAGAAAGAGAAAGCACACCAUGCCUUUGAGAGAUAGAAAAAUCACUAGCACAGAAAUGGUUUAUCAGAAUAUUGUCCUUAGUUGUUUUUCAAGUUCAUCAAUCCAACAUGUUCUCUAUGAUUUAAGUUCUUAAAUUCUGUGCUGGAUCUUAGGUUAAAUCCAAGAAGUGUUAAAUUCUAAGAGACUAUUUCUUACCACAGAUGAUAUUAAAACUGCCUUCUCAUAAAAUAAUAAAAUCACCAGCAUUAUAAUUAGAAUAUCCUAUUUAAGCAAAAAUGCUUCUUUAGUGUGGUCUUCUGCUUUGCUGAAGUUCUACAUCUUUUAAACCCACUAUGAAAAGCUGUUAUAAAGUCUCAUGACAUUUUCUUCUUAUUUUCAAACCAUCCAAGUUUUUUGGGGAAAAAAGGAGCAUUGUAAACUUAUUUGUUACUUCAUUGGAAGGAAAAGUGUUUCAUGCGCACCAAAACAAGUUUCAAAAAAAUAAAAUAAUGAAAAAGAUUUGAAAUGUGAAAUAAUGGCCAUGCAGUUUAGAAUGUGAGAGUGCUGGCCAGGAAAAUUAUGUAAAACACUGCUCUACAAGGUCCCCUGAUGCAUUCUGGGAGCUCAGAUAGUGAAAAAUAUCAAAUGAGGAUAAUUCACAAAUGCACAGUAACUCUACGGUAUUUUUCACACCCAGAAUCUGCUAAACUACACAGGAGUUUAGGAAUAUAUUUAGAAAGGAAAAUGCAGGUCAAAUGUAUUCCUCUCACACAUGUUUAUAUUUAUUGAUUCUAGUCAAGAUCGUUUCUUAAGAAAGUUAAGAGGCCUGGUUAUUUUGUUCACAUCACUUAUAAAAAAAAAAAAACCACCAACCUGAUCUUAUUCAUUAUGUUUCAGCUAUUUUAAAAUGAUUAAAUCCUAAAGUUGGUUUAUUUUUAAGAAAAAGACAGAACUCUGGGUUGACUUUGUAAAAAGAAAGUGAAAGUGAUAGUUGCUCAGUUGUGUCCGACUCUGUGACCCCGGGAACUAUACAGUCCGUGGAAUUCUCCAGGCCAGAAUACUGGAGUGGGUAG
RNAcentral lists this long non-coding RNA (1404 nucleotides) under Capra hircus (goat). RNAcentral describes it as "lncRNA (ENSCHIG00010005732.1)". The record is from RNAcentral. Lineage: Eukaryota; Metazoa; Chordata; Mammalia; Artiodactyla; Bovidae.